This 399-nucleotide ribosomal RNA is filed under the name uncultured bacterium. Its description in RNAcentral is "partial 16S ribosomal RNA". It matches the Rfam family "Bacterial small subunit ribosomal RNA", at positions 360 to 774 of the family's 1533-position model. The record is from RNAcentral.
AAUCUUCCGCAAUGGACGAAAGUCUGACGGAGCAACGCCGCGUGAGUGAUGAAGGUUUUCGGAUCGUAAAACUCUGUCAUUGGGGAAGAAUAAAUGACGGUACCCAACGAGGAAGCCCCGGCUAACUACGUGCCAGCAGCCGCGGUAAUACGUAGGUGGCAAGCGUUGUCCGGAUUUAUUGGGCGCAAAGCGCGCGCAGGCGGUCUUUUAAGUCUGAUGUGAAAUCUUACAGCUUAACUGUAAGCGGUCAUUGGAAACUGGGAGACUUGAGUGCAGAAGAGGAGAGUGGAAUUCCAAGUGUAGCGGUGAAAUGCGUAGAGAUAUGGAGGAACACCAGUGGCGAAGGCGACUCUCUGGUCUGUAACUGACGCUGAGGCGCGAAAGCGUGGGGAUCAAACA